CGAGGAUAGCCAGAGGAAACUCUGAAUAAUACUCGAUGAUGUCCGCAAGGACCAAAGGUUUACUGCCUCGGGAGCGGGGAAUGUCCUAUCAGGUAGUUGGUGGGGUAAUGGCUCACCAAGCCUUAGACGGGUAGCGGGUGUGAGAGCAUGACCCGCCGCAUCGGGACUGAGACACUGCCCGGACUCCUACGGGAGGCUGCAGUAACGAAUCUUCCGCAAUGCGCGAAAGCGUGACGGGGCAAUGCCGCGUGCAGGAUGAAGCCCUUCGGGGUGUAAACUGCUGUCAGGGUUCAGGAAAAAAAUGACCAGACCCAAAGGAAGAGGCGGCUAACUCUGUGCCAGCAGCCGCGGUAAUACAGAGGCCUCGAGCGUUAAUCGGGAUCACUGGGCUUAAAGCGUGCGUAGGCGGACGUGCAAGCAUGUUGUGAAGUCCCAUGGCUCAACCAUGGAACUGCUUCGUGAACUGCACGUCUUGAGACAAGUAGGGGCGGUCGGAACGAUAGGUGGAGCGGUGAAAUGCGUAGAUAUCUAUCGGAACGCCGAAGGAGAAGUCAGGCCGCUGGGCUUGUUCUGACGCUGAGGUACGAAAGCGUGGGGAGCAAACGGGAUUAGAUACCCCGGUAGUCCACGCUGUAAACGAUGCGCACUAGAUCGAGGAGGUUUGACACCCCCUUGGUCGAAGCAAAAGUGUUUAGUGCGCCGCCUGGGGAGUACGGUCGCAAGGCUAAAACUCAAAGGAAUUGACGGGGGCUCACACAAGCGGUGGAGCAUGUGGCUUAAUUCGAAGCAACGCGAAGAACCUUAUCCUAGGCUUGACAUGCACGGAUUAGCUCUCUGAAAGGAGAGUGAACGCCCUUUGGGUGGAACGUGCACAGGUGCUGCAUGGCUGUCGUCAGCUCGUGCUGUGAAGUGUCGGGUUAAGUCCCUCAACGAGCGAAACCCCUGUCGUUAGUUGCUAACGGGUAAUGCCGAGGACUCUAGCGAGACUGCCGGUGUCAAACCGGAGGAAGGUGGGGAUGACGUCAAGUCCUCAUGGCCCUUAUGCCUAGGGCUGCACACGUGCUACAAUGGUGCAAACAGAACGACGCAAGACCGCAAGGUGGAGCAAAUCGCUUAAAUUGCACCCCAGUUCGGAUUGUGGGCUGAAACCCGCCCACAUGAAGUCGGAAUCGCUAGUAAUCGCGGAUCAGCUACGCCGCGGUGAAUAUGUUCCUGAGCCUUGUACACACCGCCCGUCAAGUCAUGGGAGCUGGCAGCGCCCGAAGUCGCCUCAACUCAGAGGUGCCCACGGCGAGGCUGGUGACUGGGACUAAGUCGUAACAAGGUA
This 1327-nucleotide ribosomal RNA is filed under the name metagenome. RNAcentral's name for it is "bacterial SSU rRNA". It matches the Rfam family "Bacterial small subunit ribosomal RNA", at positions 138 to 1498 of the family's 1533-position model. The record is from RNAcentral.